This is a non-coding RNA of Aegilops tauschii subsp. strangulata, 1594 nucleotides long. Lineage: Eukaryota; Viridiplantae; Streptophyta; Magnoliopsida; Poales; Poaceae. The record is from RefSeq and is a predicted model, not a curated record.
UCCUCUACCUCACACCGCUCAAAGAAAGUCUUCUCCCCCUCCCUCUCUAUGCUGUGACUCCUUGCCGCCGCAGCCACAUACGCCGGCAGCCUCGUCUUGCUCCGGCGACUCCUCCCACCGCCAGGUACCCUCCUGAGCUUGCCACCCUCCGAUGCGUCCUCCCCUCCUGCUGGAUUUGACGCUCGUGCCCACUAGCAUCCCUCCCCGCGGCUAGGGAUUCGGGUGCGGCGGCGCCUCUCACUUCGGCGAGUUCAAUCCAUCCUCCUUUCUCUUCCUAUCUCUCUCCCUCCCCGUGUCUAAUUUCUGGUCGGGUCUUCUCUUCUAGAUGCGUAGAGAAGAGGGAGAUCCAGCACGCCUCCAUGCCAUGGACCCUUGACGAACGAAGGCCGAGGCGGCCAGUAGGACAAAACAAGCAGGGAGCGACGAUGGCUGUGGCGGAGCGGAGCGGCGGCGGCGUGGUGAAGCACCUCCUCAUCGUGCAGUUCAAGGAGGCCGUGACCCCGGAGCGGCUGGACGGGCUCAUCCGCGGCUACGCCGGCCUCGUCGACAAAGUCCUCUUCAUGAAGGCCUUCCACUAGUACGGGGACCACACAUGUCUUUGAGUCCACUUUUGAAAGCACCAAGAGAGCUUCAGGCAUUGAGGCGUUGAGCCAUUGUAGUAUUGCCGCCUGGACUUGCCGCCACUGCCGGCGGCGAGACCUGGAUUCGACCGGUGACCAUCCCCUCCAGCACGAAAAUCAGCCGUCUCUCCUUGCAGCUACAGAUAACCCAGCAGCCUCUCCUCAUUCUUCAACCUCUUCACUUUUAAUCUUAAGAUUUAUUCCCCUAAGGGACCACUGUUAGGCUGUGUUCGGUAGCCCUCCACUCCUCCACUCGGGAGCGGAGCGGGUGGAGCACCGUAUUAGCAGCUCCUCAAAUUAACACUGCAUGUUGCUCCGCUCCGGAGCGGAGUUGGAGAGCAGGAGGGAGUCCGAACAGGCCUUUAUUAUUUUGGACUUGCUAUGGGGAUGUUAAAACUCGUUGCAAUGUUGUUACUGUCAUGGUUCUCGAUUUAGCUGCUACUCCUCUCGAGCUAUGAUUCCUUGCAACUUCAUGCACCUGAGCUAUUUGCAGAAGGAGGGGAGCUGGCCUUCUUCAUGUAUUGGGGCAGUGCCUUCCUUGGAUUCAAUAAGGAGGGGACCCGGCCUUCUUCACAUCUCGUGCAACAAGGGUGAUUGACACGGACUACCAAGCUCGGUGGGUGUCGUGCACUUCAAACAAACACUCGGAGGCGGAUUCACCGUGAAGCCCAGAGACUGUCGUGUAGAUGAUCGUGCAGGUGAUUGCGACGCCGAAGGUCGCUGAGGUGGAGUACCUCGACGCCAAUGUCCGGCGGGAAGGAGGGUUCGGGUCCACCGACGUUUGAACUCCGAGCCUUGGUAGAUACAUCUAGAGAAGUGGUCUGGUUGUUUGCGUCUGUUGUUAAAUGGGAUCACAUGAUCUUUUUUAGUUGAGAUGUUCAAUGUUGCAUCCAUGAAUGUUGCAAGUGCUGAGAUGGUUAUGUGACCUUUGCACUAGACGUGUCUUGAUUUCAAUCCAUGAAUAUUGCAUCUAA